RNAcentral lists this ribosomal RNA (433 nucleotides) under uncultured bacterium. RNAcentral describes it as "partial 16S ribosomal RNA". It matches the Rfam family "Bacterial small subunit ribosomal RNA", at positions 29 to 507 of the family's 1533-position model. The record is from RNAcentral.
AACGAACGCUGGCGGCAUGCCUAACACAUGCAAGUCGAACGAGACCUUCGGGUCUAGUGGCGCACGGGUGCGUAACGCGUGGGAACCUUCCCUUAGGUUCGGAAUAACUCCCCGACAGGGGUGCUAAUACCGGAUAAUGUCUUCGGCCCAAAGAUUUAUCGCCUUUGGAUGGGCCCGCGUUGGAUUAGCUAGUUGGUAGGGUAAAAGCCUACCAAGGCGACGAUCCAUAGCUGGUCUGAGAGGAUGAUCAGCCACACUGGGACUGAGACACGGCCCAGACUCCUACGGGAGGCAGCAGUGGGUAAUAUUGGACAAUGGGCGAAAGCCUGAUCCAGCAAGGCCGCGUGAGUGAUGAAGGCCUUAGGGUUGUAAAGCUCUUUUACCCGGGAUGAUAAUGACAGUACCGGGAGAAUAAGCUCCGGCUAACUCCGUG